GAUGAAGAACGUAGCGAAAUGCGAUAAGUAAUGUGAAUUGCAGAAUUCAGUGAAUCAUCGAAUCUUUGAACGCACAUUGCGCCCUCUGGUAUUCCGGAGGGCAUGCCUGUCCGAGCGUCAUUGCUGCCCUCAAGCACGGCUUGUGUGUUGGGCCUCCGUCCUCCUCCCGGGGGACGGGCCCGAAAGGCAGCGGCGGCACCGCGUCCGGUCCUCGAGCGUAUGGGGCUUCGUCACCCGCUCUUGUAGGCCCGGCCGGCGCUUGCCGACACAUCAAUCUUUUUUCCAGGUUGACCUCGGAUCAGGUAGGGAUACCCGCUGAACUUAAGCAUAUCAAUAAGCGGAGGA
This 345-nucleotide unclassified non-coding RNA is filed under the name soil metagenome. Its description in RNAcentral is "partial contains 5.8S ribosomal RNA, internal transcribed spacer 2, and large subunit ribosomal RNA". The stretch from base 1 to 120 matches the Rfam family "5.8S ribosomal RNA", at positions 35 to 154 of the family's 154-position model. The record is from RNAcentral.